AUCAAAGUUGUUGCGGUUAAAAAGCUCGUAGUUGGAUUUCCCGGGGCUUAAGGGGUGGGAUGUGGUCAUUUGAACUGCGGCCGUUCCUUUUCCGGUGGCGGUCUGCGGAAUUUUUCCGUGGGGCGCAUGUACUUUGAACAAAUUAGAGUGCUCAAGACAGGCGAUUUUUUAUUGCUGUGAAUAGAUUAGCAUGGAAUACGGGUAUAAACUCUCUUCUCGGGAUUGUUGUUUUGACGAGGAGGGGGAAUGAUGGAUAGGGACAGGUGUGGGCAUUGAGAUUGUUACGUCAGAGGUGAAAUUCUUAGAUCGUAGCAGGAUUAGCAGACGCGAAAGCAUUUGUCAAGGAUGUUUUCAUUGAUCAAGAACGAAAGUUGGGGGAUCGAAGACGAUUAGAUACCGUCGUAGUCUCAACCAUAAACGAUGCCAGCUAGGGAUUGGAGGGGGCACGAGGCUUUCUCACUACUUUUUCAGCACCUUUACGAGAAAUCCAAAGCGUUUGGGUUCCGGGGGAAGUAUGGUCGCAAGGCUGAAACUUUAAGGAAUUGACGGAAGGGCACCACCAGGAGUGGAGCCUGCGGCUUAAUUUGACCCAACACGGGAAAACUUACCAGGCCCAGACAUAAAAAGGAUUGACAGAUUGAAAGCUCUUUCUUGAUCUUAUGGAUGGUGGUGCAUGGCCGUUCUUAGUUCGUGGAGUGAUUUGUCUGCUUGAUUGCGAUAACGGACGAGACCUUGUGUGGAUGUUGCUGGGCCCAAGAUAUUUUGUUGUUGGGACCCGGGACCUUCUGCGACUGCUGUAUGUGUUUUAACCAGAGGAAGUUCUAGGCUAAAACAGGUCUGUGAUGCCCUUAGAUGUUCUGGGCCGCACGCGCGCUACAAUGGGAGGGAUAGCGAGCUUGUUGCCGGGGCCUUGGCGCGAAAGUGUUGGGGUCUUGGUGCCUGGUCCGAGAGGGCUGGGGAAACUGGCAAGACCUUCUGUGACUGGGAUUGGUCUCUGUAAUUAUGGGCCAUGAACGAGGAAUUCCUUGUAAACGCACGUCAUCAACGUGCAUUGAAUACGUCCCUGCCCUUUGUACACACCGCCCGUCGCUUCUACCGAUUGGAUGAAUAGGUGAGUGUUCUGGAGGUCUGGCCGUUGUUGGGCAACUGACGGGGUUGGGCUGAGGAUGUGCAAAUCUGUUUAUCUAGAGGAAGAAGGAGUCGU
Molecule: ribosomal RNA, 1204 nt
Filed under: metagenome
Description: SSU rRNA
Rfam family: Eukaryotic small subunit ribosomal RNA
Source: RNAcentral